Molecule: ribosomal RNA, 504 nt
Filed under: uncultured bacterium
Lineage: Bacteria
Description: bacterial SSU rRNA
Rfam family: Bacterial small subunit ribosomal RNA
Source: RNAcentral
AUGGCUCAGGAUGAACGCUAGCGACAGGCCUAACACAUGCAAGUCAGGGGCAGCACAAGGAGCAAUCUGAGUGGCGACCGGCGCACGGGUGAGUAACACGUAUGCAACCUGCCUGUAAGCGGGGAAUAACCCGUUGAAAGACGGACUAAUACCGCAUAAUACUAAAUUACUGCAUGGUAAUUUAUUUAAACAUUUAUGGCUUACAGACGGGCAUGCGCAUGAUUAGCUAGUUGGAGAGGUAACGGCUCCCCAAGGCAACGAUCAUUAGGGGUUCUGAGAGGAAGGUCCCCCCACACUGGUACUGAGACACGGACCAGACUCCUACGGGAGGCAGCAGUGAGGAAUAUUGGUCAAUGGACGAGAGUCUGAACCAGCCAAGUCGCGUGCAGGAAGAAUUGUCCUAUGGAUUGUAAACUGCUUUUGCAGGGGAAUAAAGUGCAUCACGUGUGAUGUUUUGUAUGUACUCUGCGAAUAAGGAUCGGCUAACUCCGUGCCAGCAGCCGC